This 319-nucleotide long non-coding RNA is filed under the name Nicotiana benthamiana. RNAcentral describes it as "long non-coding RNA (NBEN_LNC014680)". The record is from RNAcentral. Lineage: Eukaryota; Viridiplantae; Streptophyta; Magnoliopsida; Solanales; Solanaceae.
UCCAUCCAUUUUGAGAUGUUCGAGAGCAGAAAAAGACUCGAAGAACAUAGCAAUAUCACAUUUUUGUUUCCCCCCACUCCAUUCCAAAUCCACAACUUAAAGUCCUGCUAGAAGAGCGAUAUACUUAAAGUGGAUGGAACUUAUGUUCCCACGAAGUUGAAGGAUCUCAGAAUAGGAGCAUUAAUUUCACCGCGACGUAAACGCGAAAUAUCCAACUGCAAUUGCUCGAGCAACAUGCAAUGAGAUCUUAAACUUUCAAGAGAUUUGGAUGAAAUUGUGACGUCACGUAAUUCCAGGCUAAUUAACUUUUCAAAUCCUU